AACGAACGCUGGCGGCAUGCCUAACACAUGCAAGUCGAACGAGACCUUCGGGUCUAGUUGCGCACGGGUGCGUAACGCGUGGGAACCUGCCCUUAGGUUCGGAAUAACUCCCCGAAAGGGGUGCUAAUACCGGAUAAUGUCUUCGGACCAAAGAUUUAUCGCCUUUGGAUGGGCCCGCGUUGGAUUAGCUAGUUGGUAGGGUAAAAGCCUACCAAGGCGACGAUCCAUAGCUGGUCUGAGAGGAUGAUCAGCCACACUGGGACUGAGACACGGCCCAGAAUCCUACGGGAAGCAGCAGUGGGGAAUAUUGGACAAUGGGCGAAAGCCUGAUCCAGCAAUGCCGCGUGAGUGAUGAAGGCCUUAGGGUUGUAAAGCUCUUUUACCCGGGAUGAUAAUGACAGUACCGGGAGAAUAAGCUCCGGCUAACUCCGUG
RNAcentral lists this ribosomal RNA (433 nucleotides) under uncultured bacterium. Its description in RNAcentral is "partial 16S ribosomal RNA". It matches the Rfam family "Bacterial small subunit ribosomal RNA", at positions 29 to 507 of the family's 1533-position model. The record is from RNAcentral.